GAGAUAUUAGAUUAUCAUAUUUUACUAUAAAAACACUUGUUAAUCAUAUUUUACCCUAAACCUAACUUAUAUGUAGCCGCUCCAAAGUCUUAUGCGUCAUUCUUUAGGAUGGAUUACAAGAAAGAAAAAAAAAUUCAAUGUUCUUCAAUCUUGAACAAAACAUUUUUUCUUCCCUUACAAUAUAUCUCGCAUAAUGAUGUUGAUGUUGUUUUUGUAUUUUUGUAAUAAUCUUCCUAUUUUAUCAAUCAAAGAAAACAUUGAAAAAU
RNAcentral lists this long non-coding RNA (266 nucleotides) under Lathyrus oleraceus (garden pea). RNAcentral describes it as "Pisum sativum (pea) long non-coding RNA (PSAT_LNC016523)". The record is from RNAcentral. Lineage: Eukaryota; Viridiplantae; Streptophyta; Magnoliopsida; Fabales; Fabaceae.